CAGUAGCCGCGGGAAUACAGAGGGUGCGAGCGUUAAUCGGAUUUACUGGGCGUAAAGCGUGCGUAGGCGGCUUUUUAAGUCGGAUGUGAAAUCCCUGAGCUUAACUUAGGAAUUGCAUUCGAUACUGGGAAGCUAGAGUAUGGGAGAGGAUGGUAGAAUUCCAGGUGUAGCGGUGAAAUGCGUAGAGAUCUGGAGGAAUACCGAUGGCGAAGGCAGCCAUCUGGCCUAAUACUGACGCUGAGGUACGAAAGCAUGGGGAGCAAACAGGAUUAGAUACCCGGGUAGUCCCUGUCUCUUAUAC
RNAcentral lists this ribosomal RNA (301 nucleotides) under uncultured bacterium. Its description in RNAcentral is "partial 16S ribosomal RNA". It matches the Rfam family "Bacterial small subunit ribosomal RNA", at positions 509 to 807 of the family's 1533-position model. The record is from RNAcentral.